Molecule: ribosomal RNA, 305 nt
Filed under: uncultured bacterium
Lineage: Bacteria
Description: bacterial SSU rRNA
Rfam family: Bacterial small subunit ribosomal RNA
Source: RNAcentral
UUGCCCUACGGGGGGCAGCAGUGGGGGAUAUUGCACAAUGGGGGGAACCCUGAUGCAGCGACGCCGCGUGGGUGAAGAAGCGCCUCGGCGCGUAAAGCCCUGUCAGCAGGGAAGAAAAUGACGGUACCUGAAGAAGAAGCCCCGGCUAACUACGUGCCAGCAGCCGCGGUAAUACGUAGGGGGCAAGCGUUAUCCGGAUUUACUGGGUGUAAAGGGAGCGUAGACGGUAUGGCAAGUCUGAUGUGAAAACCCGGGGCUCAACCUCGGGACUGCAUUGGAAACUGUCGGACUAGAGUGUCGGAGAG